GUUAAAUCACUGUCAAAAGGCUAUUAAGUACACAAGAUGGGGACUCCUGGUUCUGGAAGGAAAAGAACACCUGUGAAAGACCGAUUUUCCGCAGAAGAUGAAACUUUGAGUAACAUUGCCAGAGAGUUGGAUGAAAAAUCUGACAAACAGUAUGCUGAAAAUUAUACACGACCUUCAUCUCGAAAUUCUGCCUCAGCAACAACCCCUCUAAGUGAAAACUCAUCCAGAGGAGGAAGUGGGGACACCAGCAGCUUAACAGAUCCAGACACCUCAUUAAGUGAAUUACAGGAAUCUUUGUCUGAAGUGGAAGAAAAAUACAAGAAAGCCAUGGUUUCCAAUGCACAGUUAGACAAUGAGAAGAACAAUCUGAUCUACCAGGUAUAUACACUCAAGGAUGUUAUUGAAGAGCAGGAGGAACAGAUGGCGGAGUUUUAUAGAGAAAAUGAAAAAUCAAAGGAGUUGGAAAGGCAGAAACAUAUGUGUAGUGUGCUGCAGCAUAAGAUGGAAGAACUUAAAGAAGGCCUUCGGCAAAGAGAUGAGCUUAUUGAGAAACAUGGCUUGGUUAUAAUCCCCGAUGGCACUCCCAGUGGUGAUGUCAGUCAUGAACCAGUGGUUGGAGCCAUCACUGUUGUGUCUCAGGAAGCUGCUCAGGUCUUGGAGUCAGCAGGAGAAGGGCCGUUAGAUGUAAGGCUAUGAAAACUUGCUGGAGAAAAGGAAGAACUGCUGUCAUAGAUUAGAAAACUGAAGCUUCAGUUAGAAGAGGAACGACAGAAAUGCUCCAGGAAUGAUGGCAUAGUGGGUGACCUGGCAGGACUGCAGAAUGGCUCAGACUUGCAGUUCAUCGAAAUGCAGAGAGAUGCCAACAGACAAAUUAGCGAAUACAAAUUUAAGCUUUCAAAAGCAGAACAGGAUAUAACCACCUUGAAGCAAAGUAUUGGCCGGCUUGAGGGACAGGUUACAAGAUGUAAAACUGCUGCUGAGACUGCUGAGAAAGUUGAAGAUGAACUGAAAGCAGAAAAAAGGAAGCUACAACGAGAGUUACGAACAGCACUGGACAAGAUUGAGAAGAUGGAGAUGACCAAUAGCCACCUGGCCAAGCGGCUGGAGAAGAUGAAGACCAAUAGGACAGCACUUCUGGCCCAGCAGUAGGAAGACCGCCCUUCGGCCUGGGUGCUGCUCCUUGGGGCCCUACCUAGAGGGACUGACUUUUGUCCAUUGACAUAAACCCCUUUUAGUAGUGUUUUGAGUUUUGUCGUUAAAACAGCCACCUUUGUAUUUUGUAAUUUAUGAGCGAAUGAAGCCGGUUUGAAUCUUCGUGAAUGGAAAAAAAAAUGAUUUUUUUAAGACAAAAAAAAAAUUUAUUGCCAUAAAUUAAUCCAGUAGGUAUAUCUAAGAAAGCACGCAUCAGUUGGUUAGGGCAAUAAGCGCCUCUACCACAUUGCCCAUGUGUCCCGCAAGCUGCGUUCUGCUGCUGCUCGAGAUAUCUCCAUCUCAGUCAUUAUCAGUUCCAGAUCUUCCUUCUUGAUAGUGACUUUUGCCAGUUCUUUCUCCCGCUCCUGUUUGGCUUUCUGCUCCCGGGACCUUCCGUCUCCAAUCACAGACAUGGCCGUCUCCAGACGGUACUUACAUAAUACCUAAGUAAGUGCAACACCAGGCUGUGUCUUUCUAUCACGGAUUUCCACCUGGACACGUGGAACCCAGCCUGGCCUGUCUGCACAAUCCUGACUGGACUCCUGAGCUUCAUGGUGGAGAAGGGCCCUACCCUGGGCAGCAUAGAGAUGUCAGACUUCACGAAAAGACAGCUAGCAGCACAGAGGUCAGCCUUUAAUUUAAAAGAUAAAGUCUUUUGUGAAUUAUUUCCUGAAGUUGUGGAGGAAAUUAAACAAAAACAGAAAGCACAAGACGAACUCAGUAGCAGACCCCAGACUCUCCCCUUGCCAGACGUGGUUCCAGACGGGGAGACACACCUUGUCCAGAACGGGAUUCAGCUUCUCGACGGGCACGCGCCAGGGGCCGUCCCAAACCUCCCGAGGCUCCUGCAGGCCAACGGGCACCGCGGACUCCUGGGCGGCGCCCUGGCGAACUUGUUUGUUGUAGUCGGGUUUGCAGCCUUCGCCUACACCGUCAAGUACGUGCUGAGGAGCAUCGCGCAGGAGUGAGGCCUGGCACCGAGACCAGGGCGCCACGGAGGGCGCGUGGCACGAGCGUGACCUGGGCCGGCCGGACACGCUGCCCAGCACAGGCAGACCCACCAGGCUCCUGGGUUUCGGUUUUAAAAACCUGGAAAGGAAAGCAAAAGCCAAAAUGUGUGACUGGGCUUAGGAGGAGACUGGAGACUCAGCCCUGCCCUGGCCACGUGCCGCCCGGGCUGGCGUGGAGGGGCUGCUGGCGUGCUGGUUUUGUAGCUUAUCUUCUGUGUUGUCUUUGGAUCUGUUUUAGUGAACCCGUUUUUCAUU
RNA transcript from Sapajus apella (tufted capuchin), 2456 nucleotides. It is a transcript of the gene named leucine-rich repeat flightless-interacting protein 2 pseudogene, with no coding region annotated. The transcript has a single exon. NCBI's taxonomy places the organism in Eukaryota, Metazoa, Chordata, Mammalia, Primates, Cebidae. The record is from RefSeq and is a predicted model, not a curated record.